Molecule: small RNA, 19 nt
Filed under: Arabidopsis thaliana (thale cress)
Lineage: Eukaryota; Viridiplantae; Streptophyta; Magnoliopsida; Brassicales; Brassicaceae
Description: ATSL122980
Source: RNAcentral
GUUUUUCUUCUUCUUUUUC